This 76-nucleotide transfer RNA is filed under the name bacterium. Its description in RNAcentral is "tRNA-Ala". It matches the Rfam family "tRNA". From Rfam's summary of the family: Transfer RNA (tRNA) molecules are approximately 80 nucleotides in length. The record is from RNAcentral.
GGGGAAUUAGCUCAGCUGGGAGAGCGCCGCCCUUGCAAGGCGGAGGUCACCGGUUCGAGUCCGGUAUUCUCCACCA